GCAUUCCGCUCAAGGCCUCUUCGAUCUACUUGACGACUUCACCAACGCUUCUGGUCUCAAGAAGAAAAGCAAAUUGUUGAUAUCAGGAAAAAACAUCCUACGCAGGCUAAUUUCCAGCAUACUGGGUCUCGAAGAAGGGACCAAAACAUAUUUGCCGAUCCUUGUCCCCCAAGACCUAAAAAGAAAGCGGUUAGGCAACCUUCCAUUGCUGCGGCUGGCCAUUCCCUGUUAGCUGUUUCAGCAACCAUCUUUU
RNAcentral lists this long non-coding RNA (253 nucleotides) under Nicotiana benthamiana. Its description in RNAcentral is "long non-coding RNA (NBEN_LNC023060)". The record is from RNAcentral. Lineage: Eukaryota; Viridiplantae; Streptophyta; Magnoliopsida; Solanales; Solanaceae.